RNAcentral lists this ribosomal RNA (497 nucleotides) under uncultured bacterium. Its description in RNAcentral is "partial 16S ribosomal RNA". It matches the Rfam family "Bacterial small subunit ribosomal RNA", at positions 28 to 507 of the family's 1533-position model. The record is from RNAcentral.
GACGAACGCUGGCGGCGUGCCUAAUACAUGCAAGUUGAGCGCUGAAGGUUGGUACUUGUACCAACUGGAUGAGCAGCGAACGGGUGAGUAACGCGUGGGGAAUCUGCCUUUGAGCGGGGGACAACAUUUGGAAACGAAUGCUAAUACCGCAUAAAAACUUUAAACACAAGUUUUAAGUUUGAAAGAUGCAAUUGCAUCACUCAAAGAUGAUCCCGCGUUGUAUUAGCUAGUUGGUGAGGUAAAGGCUCACCAAGGCGAUGAUACAUAGCCGACCUGAGAGGGUGAUCGGCCACAUUGGGACUGAGACACGGCCCAAACUACUACGGGAGGCAGCAGUAGGGAAUCUUCGGCAAGGGACGAAAGUCUGACCGAGCAACGCCGCGUGAGUGAAGAAGGGUGUCGGAUCGUAAAACUCUGUUGGUAGAGAAGAACGUUGGUGAGAGUGGAAAGCUCAUCAAGUGACGGUAACUACCCAGAAAGGGACGGCUAACUACGUG